This 500-nucleotide ribosomal RNA is filed under the name uncultured bacterium. RNAcentral describes it as "partial 16S ribosomal RNA". It matches the Rfam family "Bacterial small subunit ribosomal RNA", at positions 28 to 523 of the family's 1533-position model. The record is from RNAcentral.
GUUGAACGCUGGCGGAAUGCUUUACACAUGCAAGUCGAACGGCAGCACGGACUUCGGUCUGGUGGCGAGUGGCGAACGGGUGAGUAACAUAUCGGAACGUAUCCAAUAAUGGGGGAUAACGAGUCGAAAGAUUCGCUAAUACCGCAUACGCCCUACGGGGGAAAGCUGGGGACCUUCGGGCCUGGCGUUAAUGGAGCGGCCGAUAUCUGAUUAGCUAGUUGGUGAGGUAAAGGCUCACCAAGGCGACGAUCAGUAGCGGGGCUGAGAGGACGACCAGCCACACUGGAACUGAGCCACGGUCCAGGCUCCUACGGGAGGCAGCAGUGGGGGAUUUUGGACAAUGGGCGCAAGCCUGAUCCAGCCAUUCCGCGUGAGUGAAGAAGGCCUUCGGGUUGUAAAGCUCUUUCGCAAGGGAAGAAAACUUAGCCACUAACAUUGGUUGAGGUUGACGGUACCUUGAUAAGAAGCACCGGCUAACUACGUGCCAGCCGCCGCCGUAA